AAAGAGUGUAGCUUUUUACUGUUCAUGUCCACAUUUGACCGUCUGUAUUAUUUAAAAAAAAAUUAUGAUUAAUAUUUUUAUUGUUACUAGAUGAUAAAACAUAAACAUUACUUCGUGUGUGAUUAUUUUUUUAUAAUUUUUUUAAAUAAGACGGACGAACAAACAUUAGACAUAGAAAUCCACAAUUGCACUUAUA
Molecule: microRNA precursor, 196 nt
Filed under: Oryza rufipogon (brownbeard rice)
Lineage: Eukaryota; Viridiplantae; Streptophyta; Magnoliopsida; Poales; Poaceae
Description: MIR812 microRNA precursor family
Rfam family: MIR812 microRNA precursor family
Source: Rfam by way of RNAcentral